This 223-nucleotide long non-coding RNA is filed under the name Neogobius melanostomus (round goby). Its description in RNAcentral is "lncRNA (ENSNMLG00000023416.1)". Lineage: Eukaryota; Metazoa; Chordata; Actinopteri; Gobiiformes; Gobiidae. The record is from RNAcentral.
AGCCCUGCUCACAAACCUGACACACAUGACGGCUCUUCAGUCAAAGAGCUUUCAUAUCCACACCUGGCUGCUCUGCCCUCUCCAAAGUCCACCAGACGUCUGUUUGACAAACACUCGGACAAGAAAGGCUUCUGCAAACCUCUGCACCUCUACAACCUUCUGAAGGAGGCCAUCCAGGGAGGAGUGCUGACUGGCAGUGAGAGGUACCUGGCCCUGGAACACU